Non-coding RNA from Delphinapterus leucas (beluga whale), 1955 nucleotides. NCBI's taxonomy places the organism in Eukaryota, Metazoa, Chordata, Mammalia, Artiodactyla, Monodontidae. The record is from RefSeq and is a predicted model, not a curated record.
UGUCUGCCGGGCUUCCUUUUGGGGGUGCCAGCAAGUACAGCACGCUCCAGCAUCUUGGACAAACAAGCAGCCGGAUGGCAGGGAGGCGAGGGUCAGACAAAGGAGGUGACGCUGUGAGUGACUCGCGCCCAGUCAGGAGCCGUAAUCGGAGGUGAUUAAUCCAUGGAGGAGAAAGCCUGGGAGGCAUCGCUGACUCAGGGCUGAAGCUUCCUCGUGGCUGCUCUGUUCCCUGCCUCACCUGCCCCGCUUGCAGGCUGGAGGGGGAGGCUUGUUGAAAAGGGUGGCUCGUGGCUUUCCCGGCAAUGCCAUCACUUCCUUACACUUGGACUCGUCAUCAUCACACUCCCACAGCUGAGCCUGAGUGUGCCCCCCGCCGCCUCCUCUCCACGCGCUGCUCCGGGUGUAGCUGCUCUGUCCCCACCAGACGCGCUCUCCAAGCCUCGCUCCUGCCCGGGGAGGGGCGCCCACCUCUCUGCAGACCAGACUCCUGCUGGCCACGUGAGCUCUUCUGCACACACUCAGCAAACGUCUUGUGCACCCUUGCUAUGUGCUGGGUACGAUGCUACAACCGGGUCUCUGCCCUCGAGCAGUGCUCAGGUGUGUGUGACAGGAAGGCCGACACCUCUCAGCUGACUCUCACUUUGCAUCUUGCCCACGGUCCGUCAGCAGCGACAGAGUCGGGCUGGAACACUGACUCCAGGCUCAUUCUUUUUUCUACCACAUCCUGAGUCUUUUUGGUGUGUGGACCAAGGCAGCGGUUUCUGGAUGGUUCUGUGAACUCAGCUAUGGGUCAGAAGGCUGAGGCUACAGAGGAGAAGGCGGCCUCUCCAAGUUCCAAAGUGCAGUGCUGGGCCCUCUGGGCUCUGGAGCAGGAUGGCCACACCAAACCCCCCAUACCCUCCGCCUCCCCCACUGCUGCCAUGUCUCCUUCCACCAGGGGAGGAAUAUGGUCACGGCCGUGUCCUGCGGGCAGUAAAGGCCCACUGGACACCGCCUGGGGGGGCGUGUUAGACGUGGAGGAGUGGAAAGUACUGGAUUAAGGCUGCUUUCUCUUCUCUCGCCAAAGGGAAGUCCCUGCACAGCUAUGAAAUGGCAGCGAGCUUUGAAGAAGGCUUUCUAACCACCCAGAGCCAGUCCUGGAUUUUGACGUUCUGUCACUUAGCACAGUUCCUUCCCCACCAACUGUCUGCUAUGACACCACGGAGCUAAAUAGCAGAGCUGCCGAAAUUACAGUCAAAGGAGAGGGGAAUUAAGACACCAGCAAGGGAGGAAAGAUUUUUUUUAAGCAAGGAAGGGAAUAAGACAGCAACCAAUAAAACAGACAGAAGCAAGAUGUCUGUUCCAGGUGGCGAGAGGCGGGGAUGUCUUUUCUGUGGCAACUUAGUCUAAGAUGACGAAGAUGCUCAGAGAGCGUGUGGUGACAGCAGCCUCCUUCAACAGGGAGCAUCUCAUCGAGAGGUACUUAUCCCAUCACGUGACCUCGGGGGCCAACCAGAUGGCUUACGAGCUUAGCAGUUCUUCCUUAACUUCAGCAAGAGAAGGCUUGACCAGAGGAAGGAGAAGGGGCCACAGGGAGGGCACAUUUGCCUGCUGGACGCCUAUGAUUUCACAGAGGGAAAGAGCGGGAGUUCUCGUAAGUAAGGGCAGACGCCUGUGUAGAAGCCAACCACUGUGCUCUCUGACCAGGCUGUCUGCUCAGCCAGGACCGAUGGAUCUGCUCCAAGAACACAGAGGUGGGUUUUCCAGAUGAUGAGGGCAACGCAGAACAGGCACUUGGCACAAAGGCUUGACUAGAGGACAGUCGUCUUAAGACCCUGCCACGCUUCUAGCCCGAGUGACUGCUGCUGAGAGCGGGAGCGCUGGGUCCGCCCUCUCUGUCACCUGCCCCGUGUCUAAAUGCACGGUGAGGAUCCGGACAGGAGUAUCAUGAUAGGGUCACCUGCGAUUUGUCCAGG